This 1014-nucleotide ribosomal RNA is filed under the name Triticum aestivum (bread wheat). Its description in RNAcentral is "partial small subunit ribosomal RNA". The record is from RNAcentral. Lineage: Eukaryota; Viridiplantae; Streptophyta; Magnoliopsida; Poales; Poaceae.
AUGAAAAUCUGGAAAGUGAAGAAGUGCAGAGUAACCAUGGCCUUGCAGCUACGUCCAAGACUAGACCUCAAACACGUGAAAAGCGCAGGGUCUGUGGGAAAAAUAAAUGCAAGGAAGUACCUGAUCUCACGGAGUCCCAAUUUUUUUUACAAUAACCAUGCGCUUUCCAAAAGUUUUGCACGACACUUGGGUAGAAUCGUCCGUAAUACUAGAAUUACCCCGAUGAGGGUAAAGGAAUGGUCCAAUAUUACUGAUGCAGCUCGGAAACAUAUAUUUGAUGCAAUUAAGGACAAAUUCAAAAAUAUUGACAACAACAUUGCAAUAGAUGUGUACAAAGAUGAGAUAUUAGACCAUGUUAAGAAACUUUGGAUCAACUGGCGUGGUGACUUGCAUCGGCAUUUUGUGAAACCCAACAAGACUAUGCAGGAGGCUAUGAAAAAGGUACCUAAAGAUAUUCCAAAGGAUGACUGGGAAUGGCUUGUCAAGGAGCAUUUUUUCAGCAAGGAGUUUCUGAAAAAGAGCAAGAGAAACACCCAAAACAGAGCUAACCUCAAAAUGCUUCACCGAUCUGGCAGUAAACCCUGUAGACAAAUAAUUUGGGACAUGGGAGGAAAGGAAAACAAGCCACCGAGUAUGGAUAAACUAUUUUCAGAGACACACAAGAAGGGUACAGACUUCCCUGAUUCUACAACCUCAGCCAAACAUGCACAAAUUAAGACCAUAGUUCAGUUGAAUCCUGGUCUUUCAAAUAAUGAAGUCAUGCGGAAAUGUAACACAUCUAAGCAGCGUGAUCGUGUAGUUGGCUUUGCUGAUGGAAUUAGAGCAAGGGAUUUGCGAGGACCAGCAUUAAGUAAGGCUGAAUUAGUUUCUCAACUUCAAGCUUCUGAGCAAGCAAAACAAGUACUCGAAGAAAAGGUCAAUGGCAUGGCGCAAGAAGUAUCAGAAAUUAAGUGUCUUCUAUCUGGUAGAUCUCUAACUGAUAGUUCUCAUGAACGCCAACAUGAUCAAGACUGA